CUUUACUGCAACUUGACGUUGGAACUUGGCUGUAUUUGUGUAGGAUAGGUGGGAGACUUUGAAGCAGGGCCGCCAGGUCUUGCGGAGUCGUCGUUGAAAUACCACCCUGCUGCUGACGAGUUUCUAACCGUGUCCGUAAGCCGGACAUGAGACAGCGUCUGGUGGGCAGUUUGACUGGGGCGGUCGCCUCCUAAAAGGUAACGGAGGCAUUCAAAGGUCCCCUCAGCGUGGUCGGUAAUCACGCGCAGAGUGCAAACGCAUAAGGGGGCUUAACUGCGAGACCGACAGGUCGAGCAGGUACGAAAGUAGGAGUUAGUGAUCCCGCGGUUUAGCGUGGAAUUGCCGUUGCUCAAUGGAUAAAAGGUA
RNAcentral lists this ribosomal RNA (366 nucleotides) under uncultured organism. RNAcentral describes it as "bacterial LSU rRNA". It matches the Rfam family "Bacterial large subunit ribosomal RNA", at positions 2099 to 2465 of the family's 2925-position model. The record is from RNAcentral.